GUGGCCAUUUUAUUUUAUUAGAGGAACCUGUUUUUUAAUCGAUAUUCCACGAUACUUUUUACUUCCGUUUAUAUCUUAUAUACCUCCAUCUUAAGGAUUAAUAUUUAUAUUCUCCCCAGAAUAGAUUUCUAGUAAGUUAGGUAAAGGUGUAGACUAUAUGGAAGAUAAAAUGGGUUACAAUAAAUAGUAUUUAAGAAUACUAAAUUAAAAUUUUUAUUGAAAAAGGAUUUAUUAGUAAAUGAAGAAUAAUAUUCUUCUUUGAACUUGAUAAACAAUGUGCACACAUCGCCCGUCGCUCUU
RNAcentral lists this ribosomal RNA (300 nucleotides) under Argiope boesenbergi. Its description in RNAcentral is "partial 12S ribosomal RNA". Lineage: Eukaryota; Metazoa; Arthropoda; Arachnida; Araneae; Araneidae. The record is from RNAcentral.